GACGAACGCUGGCGGCGUGCUUAACACAUGCAAGUCGAACGGAAAGGCCCUGCUUUUGUGGGGUGCUCGAGUGGCGAACGGGUGAGUAACACGUGAGUAACCUGCCCUUGACUUUGGGAUAACUUCGGGAAACUGGGGCUAAUACCGGAUAGGAGCUCCUGCUGCAUGGUGGGGGUUGGAAAGUUUCGGCGGUUGGGGAUGGACUCGCGGCUUAUCAGCUUGUUGGUGGGGUAGUGGCUUACCAAGGCUUUGACGGGUAGCCGGCCUGAGAGGGUGACCGGCCACAUUGGGACUGAGAUACGGCCCAGACUCCUACGGGAGGCAGCAGUGGGGAAUAUUGCACAAUGGGCGGAAGCCUGAUGCAGCAACGCCGCGUGCGGGAUGACGGCCUUCGGGUUGUAAACCGCUUUCGCCUGUGACGAAGCGUGAGCGACGGUAAUGGGUAAAGAAGCACCGGCUAACUACGUG
This 468-nucleotide ribosomal RNA is filed under the name uncultured bacterium. RNAcentral describes it as "partial 16S ribosomal RNA". It matches the Rfam family "Bacterial small subunit ribosomal RNA", at positions 28 to 507 of the family's 1533-position model. The record is from RNAcentral.